GGCCUUUUGAAUUUAAUUUAAGGUCUGACCUGCCCAGUGAUGAAUUUAACGGCCGCGGUAUAUUGACCGUGCAAAGGUAGCAUAAUCAUUAGUCUUUUAAUAGAGGGCUGGAAUGAAUGGUUUAACGAGGAACUAGCUGUCUCAUUUUAUUUGUUUUAGAAUUUAAUUUUUUAGUUAAAAAGCUAAAAUUUUAUUGGAAGACGAGAAGACCCUAUAGAUCUUUAUAUAAUUUUAUUUAUUUAUUUAUAUAUUAAUGUAAUUAUAUUUAAAUUAUAUUUUGUUGGGGUGACAAAAAUAUAUAAUUAACUUUUUUAUUUAUUUACCAUUUAUAUAUGAGUAUUAGAUCCAUUUUUAGUGAUUGUUAGAAUAAGUUACCUUAGGGAUAACAGCGUAAUCCUCCUCCAGAGUUCAUAUUUACAGGAGGGCUUGCGACCUCGAUGUUGGAUUAAGAUAAUAAUUAGGUGUAGCCGCUUAAUGUAUAGGUCUGUUCGACCUUUAAAUUCUU
This 505-nucleotide ribosomal RNA is filed under the name Sympetrum frequens. RNAcentral describes it as "partial 16S rRNA". It matches the Rfam family "Bacterial large subunit ribosomal RNA", at positions 1819 to 2597 of the family's 2925-position model. The record is from RNAcentral. Lineage: Eukaryota; Metazoa; Arthropoda; Insecta; Odonata; Libellulidae.